This 611-nucleotide ribosomal RNA is filed under the name uncultured Thelephoraceae. RNAcentral's name for it is "eukaryotic LSU rRNA". It matches the Rfam family "Eukaryotic large subunit ribosomal RNA", at positions 56 to 649 of the family's 3401-position model. Lineage: Eukaryota; Fungi; Basidiomycota; Agaricomycetes; Thelephorales; Thelephoraceae. The record is from RNAcentral.
GAAAGAAACUAACAAGGAUUCCCCUAGUAACUGCGAGUGAAGCGGGAAGAGCUCAAAUUUAAAAUCUGGCGUGCCUUUGGCCGUCCGAGUUGUAGUCUGGAGAAGUGUUUUCCGUGUUGGACCGUGUAUAAGUCUCUUGGAACAGGGCGUCAUAGAGGGUGAGAAUCCCGUCUUUGGCACGGACUACCAAUGCUUUGUGAUGCGCUCUCAAAGAGUCGAGUUGUUUGGGAAUGCAGCUCAAAAUGGGUGGUAAAUUCCAUCUAAAGCUAAAUACAGGCGAGAGACCGAUAGCGAACAAGUACCGUGAGGGAAAGAUGAAAAGCACUUUGGAAAGAGAGUUAAACAGUACGUGAAAUUGCUGAAAGGGAAACGCUUGANGUCAGUCACGUCUGCCGGGACUCAGCCUUGCUUCUGCUUGGUGUACUUUCUGGUUUGAUGGGCCAACAUCAAUUUCAACCGUCGGAGAAAGGCUUUGGGAAUGUGGCACCUUUGGGUGUGUUAUAGCCCUUUGUUGUAUACGACGGUUGGGAUUGAGGACUGCAGCACGCCUUCAUGGCCGGGGUUCGCCCACGUACGUGCUUAGGAUGUUGGCAUAAUGGCUUUAAGCGACC